CGGGACGGGGUGAGUAAUGUCUGGGAAACUGCCUGAUGGAGGGGGAUAACUACUGGAAACGGUAGCUAAUACCGCAUAACGUCGCAAGACCAAAGAGGGGGACCUUCGGGCCUCUUGCCAUCGGAUGUGCCCAGAUGGGAUUAGCUAGUAGGUGGGGUAAAGGCUCACCUAGGCGACGAUCCCUAGCUGGUCUGAGAGGAUGACCAGCCACACUGGAACUGAGACACGGUCCAG
RNAcentral lists this ribosomal RNA (234 nucleotides) under uncultured bacterium. Its description in RNAcentral is "partial 16S ribosomal RNA". It matches the Rfam family "Bacterial small subunit ribosomal RNA", at positions 104 to 334 of the family's 1533-position model. The record is from RNAcentral.